This 350-nucleotide ribosomal RNA is filed under the name uncultured bacterium. Its description in RNAcentral is "bacterial SSU rRNA". It matches the Rfam family "Bacterial small subunit ribosomal RNA", at positions 355 to 697 of the family's 1533-position model. The record is from RNAcentral.
UGGGGAAUAUUGCACAAUGGGCGAAAGCCUGAUGCAGCCAUGCCGCGUGUGUGAAGAAGGCCCUAGGGUUGUAAAGCACUUUCAAUUGGGAGAAAAAGCUAAUGGUUAAUACCCAUUAGCCUUGAUGUUACCUUUAGAAGAAGCACCGGCUAACUCCGUGCCAGCAGCCGCGGUAAUACGGAGGGUGCAAGCGUUAAUCGGAAUUACUGGGCGUAAAGCGCGCGUAGGCGGUUUGGUCAGUUGGAUGUGAAAGCCCCGGGCUUAACCUGGGAACUGCAUUCAAUACUGCCAGACUAGAGUACGAGAGAGGGGGGUAGAAUUUCUAGUGUAGCGGUGAAAUGCGUAGAUAU